RNAcentral lists this ribosomal RNA (1701 nucleotides) under Salmonella enterica subsp. enterica serovar Typhimurium. RNAcentral describes it as "bacterial LSU rRNA". It matches the Rfam family "Bacterial large subunit ribosomal RNA", at positions 1258 to 2925 of the family's 2925-position model. Lineage: Bacteria; Pseudomonadati; Pseudomonadota; Gammaproteobacteria; Enterobacterales; Enterobacteriaceae. The record is from RNAcentral.
GACCUGUGAGGGUUGCUGGAGGUAUCAGAAGUGCGAAUGCUGACAUAAGUAACGAUAAAGCGGGUGAAAAGCCCGCUCGCCGGAAGACCAAGGGUUCCUGUCCAACGUUAAUCGGGGCAGGGUGAGUCGACCCCUAAGGCGAGGCCGAAAGGCGUAGUCGAUGGGAAACGGGUUAAUAUUCCCGUACUUGGUGUUACUGCGAAGGGGGGACGGAGAAGGCUAUGUUGGCCGGGCGACGGUUGUCCCGGUUUAAGCGUGUAGGUGUGUGUUCCAGGUAAAUCCGGUUCACUUUAACACUGAGGCGUGACGACGAGGCACUACGGUGCUGAAGCAACAAAUGCCCUGCUUCCAGGAAAAGCCUCUAAGCAUCAGGUAACAUCAAAUCGUACCCCAAACCGACACAGGUGGUCAGGUAGAGAAUACCAAGGCGCUUGAGAGAACUCGGGUGAAGGAACUAGGCAAAAUGGUGCCGUAACUUCGGGAGAAGGCACGCUGACACGUAGGUGAAGUGAUUUACUCAUGGAGCUGAAGUCAGUCGAAGAUACCAGCUGGCUGCAACUGUUUAUUAAAAACACAGCACUGUGCAAACACGAAAGUGGACGUAUACGGUGUGACGCCUGCCCGGUGCCGGAAGGUUAAUUGAUGGGGUCAGCGCAAGCGAAGCUCCUGAUCGAAGCCCCGGUAAACGGCGGCCGUAACUAUAACGGUCCUAAGGUAGCGAAAUUCCUUGUCGGGUAAGUUCCGACCUGCACGAAUGGCGUAAUGAUGGCCAGGCUGUCUCCACCCGAGACUCAGUGAAAUUGAACUCGCUGUGAAGAUGCAGUGUACCCGCGGCAAGACGGAAAGACCCCGUGAACCUUUACUAUAGCUUGACACUGAACAUUGAGCCUUGAUGUGUAGGAUAGGUGGGAGGCUUUGAAGUGUGGACGCCAGUCUGCAUGGAGCCGACCUUGAAAUACCACCCUUUAAUGUUUGAUGUUCUAACGUGGACCCGUAAUCCGGGUUGCGGACAGUGUCUGGUGGGUAGUUUGACUGGGGCGGUCUCCUCCUAAAGAGUAACGGAGGAGCACGAAGGUUGGCUAAUCCUGGUCGGACAUCAGGAGGUUAGUGCAAUGGCAUAAGCCAGCUUGACUGCGAGCGUGACGGCGCGAGCAGGUGCGAAAGCAGGUCAUAGUGAUCCGGUGGUUCUGAAUGGAAGGGCCAUCGCUCAACGGAUAAAAGGUACUCCGGGGAUAACAGGCUGAUACCGCCCAAGAGUUCAUAUCGACGGCGGUGUUUGGCACCUCGAUGUCGGCUCAUCACAUCCUGGGGCUGAAGUAGGUCCCAAGGGUAUGGCUGUUCGCCAUUUAAAGUGGUACGCGAGCUGGGUUUAGAACGUCGUGAGACAGUUCGGUCCCUAUCUGCCGUGGGCGCUGGAGAACUGAGGGGGGCUGCUCCUAGUACGAGAGGACCGGAGUGGACGCAUCACUGGUGUUCGGGUUGUCAUGCCAAUGGCACUGCCCGGUAGCUAAAUGCGGAAGAGAUAAGUGCUGAAAGCAUCUAAGCACGAAACUUGCCCCGAGAUGAGUUCUCCCUGAGACUUAGAGUCUCCUGAAGGAACGUUGAAGACGACGACGUUGAUAGGCCGGGUGUGUAAGCGCAGCGAUGCGUUGAGCUAACCGGUACUAAUGAACCGUGAGGCUUAACCUUACAACGCCGAAG